UAAAAUAUCAAAACAGCCCUCAACUAAAUAUUUUAUAUUAUUUUCAAAUCUUUAUUCUAUUUAUCAAUAAAAUAAAUCUCAUAUCAUAAUCAAAUCCUCCAAAACUCAUAACUUAUCACGUCAUCAAUCAAAUCAUCAAAACAUACCAAAAUCAUGCAUAUAUUAUAUAAUUAUAAUAUAAUCACCUAAACUCGAUUAAAUAAACGAUUAAACGAAAGUGGGCGUUACA
This 229-nucleotide long non-coding RNA is filed under the name Medicago truncatula (barrel medic). RNAcentral's name for it is "long non-coding RNA (MTRU_LNC005034)". Lineage: Eukaryota; Viridiplantae; Streptophyta; Magnoliopsida; Fabales; Fabaceae. The record is from RNAcentral.